GACGAACGCUGGCGGCGUGCCUAAUACAUGCAAGUUGAGCGCUGAAGGUUGGUCCUUGUACCAACUGGAUGAGCAGCGAACGGGUGAGUAACGCGUGGGGAAUCUGCCUUUGAGCGGGGGACAACAUUUGGAAACGAAUGCUAAUACCGCAUAAAAACUUUAAACACAAGUUUUAAGUUUGAAAGAUGCAAUUGCAUCACUCAAAGAUGAUCCCGCGUUGUAUUAGCUAGUUGGUGAGGUAAAGGCUCACCAAGGCGAGGAUACAUAGCCGACCGGAGAGGGUGAGCGGCCGCAUUGGGACGGAGACAGGGCCCAAACGCCUACGGGAGGCAGCAGUAGGGAAUCUUCGGCAAUGGACGAAAGACUGACCGAGCAACGCCGCGUGAGGGAAGAAGGUUUUCGGAUCGUAAAACUCUGUUGGUAGAGAAGAACGUUGGUGAGAGUGGAAAGCUCAUCAAGUGACGGUAACUACCCAGAAAGGGACGGCUAACUACGUG
Molecule: ribosomal RNA, 497 nt
Filed under: uncultured bacterium
Lineage: Bacteria
Description: partial 16S ribosomal RNA
Rfam family: Bacterial small subunit ribosomal RNA
Source: RNAcentral